GACUGUCUUUAGAAAGUUUCCACAAGUGCAGUCGCUGGCGUCGAGUGGGAGCAACAUUAUGUGGCCUCUCGUCUUUCUGCUCUGCUUCAUUCAAGGUUUUGGUGUUCAAGGGGUCCAAUGGACGAUUUUAACUUGUACAAUGGAGGAGCAUAACGCGGGAUCAGACUCCGGUAUCUUUAUUACUCUCCAUGGAAGUCACGGAUCUUCCGCAGAAAUGGAAAUAGACAAUGAUGAAAACAACUUUGAGAGAGGUAGUUUUGAUCAGUUCGUGGUUACAACGGACGACAUUGGUGAAGUGUGCUCAGUGCACAUCAGGUCUGACGGUAGUGGCGAUCGUUACGACUGGCAUCUCAGUUGGUUUUGGGUUUUUGGACCUUCAGAGCACUUUUUUAUGUGCGACUGUUGGUUAGAUAGACGAGACGGAUUAAGCAGGGAUCUCCAACCUGAAGUCCCAUGCUCCCGACAGAAGAAAUAAGUAAACUGAAGUAGGCGCAGACUUUGAAUCCGGCACAGACCAACCAGCAUAAAGAGUUUAUUCACCUGAUGGAACACCUUGGUCAUCGGCUAAAUGGAAUUCUAAGAAAUAUCUGUCAAUGUCUACUGUCACUUUGACUGUGUCAUGGCACACAACCCUGCUAAUGUUUUGCUUACACUUGAAAAUCUGUAGAAUAUUGCAACAAAAGUGAACAAAAUUAUGACAGUUUAUCUUACAUCCCUUAAGGCACUGCAAUGUGGCGAUAAAAGCAUAUUUAAUUUGAGUCAGUAAUAGUAAGGUCUUUUACCCAACAAA
Long non-coding RNA from Pomacea canaliculata, 790 nucleotides. RefSeq lists it as uncharacterized. Lineage: Eukaryota; Metazoa; Mollusca; Gastropoda; Architaenioglossa; Ampullariidae. The record is from RefSeq and is a predicted model, not a curated record. The transcript has 5 exons.